RNAcentral lists this ribosomal RNA (472 nucleotides) under Psyllopsis repens. RNAcentral's name for it is "partial large subunit ribosomal RNA". It matches the Rfam family "Bacterial large subunit ribosomal RNA", at positions 1928 to 2653 of the family's 2925-position model. The record is from RNAcentral. Lineage: Eukaryota; Metazoa; Arthropoda; Insecta; Hemiptera; Liviidae.
UAGCUGCAGUAUUUUGACUGUACAAAGGUAGCAUAAUCAUUAGUCUUUUAAUUGAAGGCUUGUAUGAAUGGUUUGACGGAAAAUAAUCUUUUUUAUCACUAUAUUUAUUGAAUUUAAUUUUUGAGUUAAAAAGCUUAAAUUUUUGAAAGGGACGAUAAGACCCUAUAGAAUUUAAUAAAAUAUUUGAUUGUAUUUGUUUAGUUGGGGUGAUUAAUAAUUAACUUUAUUUAAAAUUUCAUGUAUAUGUGAAUCAAUGAUCCUAAAUUUUAGAUAAAAAGAUAAAAUUACCUUAGGGAUAACAGCAUAAUUUUUUUUAAAAGAUCUUAUUAAUAAAAAAGAUUAUGACCUCGAUGUUGAAUUAAGAUAAUAUCUAGGUGUAGAAGUUUAGAUGUUAAGUCUGUUCGACUUUAAUUUUUACAUGAUUUGAGUUCAAACCGGCGUGAGCCAGGUUGGUUUCUAUCUUUUCAUAUUU